This 74-nucleotide transfer RNA is filed under the name Planctomycetota bacterium. RNAcentral's name for it is "tRNA-Met". It matches the Rfam family "tRNA". From Rfam's summary of the family: Transfer RNA (tRNA) molecules are approximately 80 nucleotides in length. Their secondary structure includes four short double-helical elements and three loops (D, anti-codon, and T loops). Further hydrogen bonds mediate the characteristic L-shaped molecular structure. tRNAs have two regions of fundamental functional importance: the anti-codon, which is responsible for specific mRNA codon recognition, and the 3' end, to which the tRNAs corresponding amino acid is attached (by aminoacyl-tRNA synthetases). tRNAs cope with the degeneracy of the genetic code in two manners: having more than one tRNA (with a specific anti-codon) for a particular amino acid; and 'wobble' base-pairing, i.e. permitting non-standard base-pairing at the 3rd anti-codon position. Lineage: Bacteria; Pseudomonadati; Planctomycetota. RNAcentral also lists the same sequence under 1 other name. The record is from RNAcentral.
GGCGAUGUAGCUCAGCUGGUUAGAGCGGAGAAUUCAUAAUUCUUAGGUCGGCGGUUCGAGUCCGCCCAUCGCCA